RNAcentral lists this ribosomal RNA (508 nucleotides) under uncultured bacterium. Its description in RNAcentral is "partial 16S ribosomal RNA". It matches the Rfam family "Bacterial small subunit ribosomal RNA", at positions 28 to 523 of the family's 1533-position model. The record is from RNAcentral.
GAUGAACGCUAGCUACAGGCUUAACACAUGCAAGUCGAGGGGAAACGAUAUUGGAAGCUUGCUUCCGAUAGGCGUCGACCGGCGCACGGGUGAGUAACGCGUAUCCAACCUGCCCACCACUUGGGGAUAACCUUGCGAAAGUAAGGCUAAUACCCAAUGAUAUCUCUAGAAGACAUCUGAAGGAGAUUAAAGAUUCAUCGGUGAUGGAUGGGGAUGCGUCUGAUUAGCUUGUUGGCGGGGUAACGGCCAACCAAGGCGACGAUCAGUAGGGGUUCUGAGAGGAAGGUCCCCCACAUUGGAACUGAGACACGGUCCAAACUCCUACGGGAGGCAGCAGUGAGGAAUAUUGGUCAAUGGGCGAGAGCCUGAACCAGCCAAGUAGCGUGCAGGAUGACGGCCCUAUGGGUUGUAAACUGCUUUUAUAAGGGAAUAAAGUGAGUCUCGUGAGACCUUUUGCAUGUACCUUAUGAAUAAGGACCGGCUAAUUCCGUGCCAGCCGCCGCCGUAA